CUAUACUUAAAACAUAGUGGAUCAUCAUAUAUCUUUCAACUUUCUUAUUAAUCUUUUCCACAGGAUAAUAUGGAUGACCUCAUUAUACAUAUUCACUAUAUUUCUAGUUUUUCGAUCAUAUCAUUUUUUACUUGGAAUGUAAAUUAGAACACUAAAUUUAUGAAGUCUAUUUUCAAAUUGGCAUGUAUACUUAUAUUGGCUUAUUAUUCUGUUUUGUCUAAGAAUUCUCCUAAUUAUUGGAUGUAUGCCAUAAAUUUAUUUCACAUCUUGGAAAAUUGUUCCUUUUGACAUCCCAACUAAGCCAUCGGAAGAAGUAAAGGAUGAAUUUCUAUAGGCCAUCACCCCUAUUCCUUAUCCCAGUCCUUUUUUUUGCGAGAGAAGCACAUACCUUGUCCAUGAUAUACAUCUGUAUUAUCUAGAUGAUGUUUCUGCCAUAAGUUUAUCUAGAGAACAUCUCUCUUUUUGAGUACUAUCACAUGGCUUUGUUUUAUAUAGUAUAAGCACUCCCGCAUUGUGCGCUUCUUCCUCGGACAUAUUAUAAAUACAAAAGCUACACCUUGUGUACAAACAUCUGAAAUCAGUUGGUUUAUGAUGCACUCGUGCGGUUUAGCAAUUUUGGAUUUCUAAAAUAGAAUGUAUGAUUUGUUUCCUGAAUAUAUUUGUGACAUAGAUUUAGAAAUUUAUCUAUACUAAUUUCUUUAUACUUUCAUAAACCACUGUGUGUAUGUCAGGUGCAAAUUUGGUAAUAUAUAGUUAAGUGUAUUUUACUAACGGGGUUAGUAUAGUAUAUGUAACUUGCAUCAAGUGUCCGAACUUCUGAAAUCAGUUUGCUUUUUAUGCACUCGCAUGGUUUAGAAAUUUUAGAUUAUUUAUAAGAAUCUGACGCUCUCAUGUUGUUUUGCGUUUUUGAAUAUAUUUUUUAUAUAAUCUAGGAUUUAUUUAUUAAGUAUAUUUGUAAUAUAUAUUUAGAACUUUUCUAUAGUAAUUAUUUAUAUUUUCAGAUAACAACUAUAUGCAUCUCAUGUUGAAAUUUAAGAAUAUAAACUUAAGUGUGAUUUAUGGAUGGAAUUAGUAUUGUACAUGCAUAUUAGCCUUGUGCUUGUGUGUGCAUAGUGAUUUCUAAAUGAGACAAAUUAGCUCACGUACCUAGAUUUAUGCACAAUACAUUGAAGUAUUGUAUGCAGAUUUUUAGGGAUGAGAUCAUAAUUUAUCCAUGAUAUACGUAUAUAUGUUUAAUAGAACUAUGUACGUAUAGUUGUGUUAAUUUCAUCUGCACAUUUCUAGAAAAAAACAUUAACUUGGUAGCUCAU
Molecule: long non-coding RNA, 1310 nt
Filed under: Hordeum vulgare
Lineage: Eukaryota; Viridiplantae; Streptophyta; Magnoliopsida; Poales; Poaceae
Description: long non-coding RNA (HVUL_LNC018069)
Source: RNAcentral